Molecule: non-coding RNA, 205 nt
Organism: Oryza glaberrima (African rice)
Lineage: Eukaryota; Viridiplantae; Streptophyta; Magnoliopsida; Poales; Poaceae
Source: Rfam
UUUAAGUGCAACUAUGAGUUCUUUGUCCAACUUUGAUCGUUCGUCUUAUUUGAUUUUUUUUUUAUAAUUAGUAUUUUUGUUGUUAUCAGAUGAUAAAACAUGAAUAGUAUUUUAUGUGCGACUCAUGUUUUUAAUUUUUUUUAAAAAAAAUUUAAAUAAGAUGGAUGAUCAAAGUUGGUCACGGAAAACUAUGGCUGCAUUUAAA